Long non-coding RNA from Mobula hypostoma (lesser devil ray), 4731 nucleotides. RefSeq lists it as uncharacterized. The transcript has 3 exons. The record is from RefSeq and is a predicted model, not a curated record. NCBI's taxonomy places the organism in Eukaryota, Metazoa, Chordata, Chondrichthyes, Myliobatiformes, Myliobatidae.
UGGACUAUAACACCAGAACUCCAAAGAAACUUAGAAGCAACAGAAAUGUGGUUUCUUAGAAGAAUUUUGAAAAUAUCAUAUAGAGAUAAGUAACUAAUGAGACAGUACUCCAACGUGGCCACACAAAAAGAUCUUUAAUGAAACAUUAAAUGAGAGGAAACUUAAAUUCCAGGGCCAUGUCAUCAGAAAGGGAGAAAUAGAAAGCCUUACAUUACAAGGCUGUAUGCCUGGGACAUGCGGAAGAGGAAGGCAAAGAGGAAAAUAUAUGGACACUGUGAAAGAAGUAACAGAUCUAAGUGUGCGAGAUAUCAUUGGCGCUGCGAGGGAUCGUUCGAUGUGGAGAGCCAUGAUCGCCCAAGUGUGUAACGCGCAAGGCACAUGAAGGAGAAUGUAUUGAUUUAUUUAUUGCAAUAUAGUGUGGAAUAGGCCCUUCUGGAGGAGACGGUGGAGAGACGGGGAGCCGGAGGGGAGACGGGGAGGACGGAGGAGAGACGGGGAGUCAGAGGAGAGACGAGGAGGACGGCGGAUGUGCGGAAAGACUCCGGUCGAUCACUCUGGGUGGUCCCGAGCCAUGAGUCGACAGGAUUCAGGUGGUCGUCCGGAAUCAAUUGAGCUCCAACGGUUGUGUGCGAAGAACUUGGACUUUGAUUGGAUGCUCAUUGGAUGACAUCACUCUUGAUGGAAGAUAGAGAUUUCCCAUUUGAUCUUUGGAAGGAAAGUUGCAAUCCAUGCCCCAGGAGCUUAUUGGACCUUUAUAUGGUCCUACCACUGCUAGAGCCCGUAAUCUACAGUUUGGCGAUCAGGCGAUCUGGCACUUUGCUGUCUCUGAGAUGGUUCCACAAGGCUGCAACCAAAGGACGCAGGCUGGAGAUGUGGUGCGAGUCCAUGAUCAACUCUAUCUCUCGCCAGUCUCACUGAUUAAAUCAUUGAGGAAGAUUGAAAUCAUGGUGGCGAGUGAGUGUUCAGCACCAUCUAUCAGCCUCUCACUCGCUGCCGCUGCAGAAGGUGCCUCAGUGUGAUGGUCUCUCGAUUGCUGCUCCCGAGGGAAGGUCCUUGCAUUUGAGUGAUCUCUCUCCUGCUCAAAGAUGUCGGUGCGUUGGGCCGGAGCAAAAUUUAAUUGAUGCAGAUUGUACAUUGGACUCUAAUCCGGGUUUUAUGAUGUGUUCCAUUUCUAGAUCUAGUUCUCAUCACUUUUUUUCCCCACUACUACUUUUGGGCCACUUGUCGAUAGUGAACACUGAGCUGAAACUGUACUGAAAUAUGCCUUUUGUGUUUUAUAUUCUGUGUCUCUGAUCUGUUUUUUUGGUUCCCAUUUGCACAUGAGCAGUGAGCCGUUCAAUGUUUGAUGUUUUUCUUUGAAUGGGUUGGUUCAAUGAUUUUCUUUGUUUCAUGACUGAUUGCAAAAAUGAAUUUCAGAGUUAAAUACUGCAUGCAUACUUUGAUAAUAAAUGCACUUUGAACUUUUGAACUUGUUGAACUUUAUAUGGACUGAAAGAUCAGUCCAGAAUGAUGUUAGUCAUAUCUUUCCAACCAAGCCAAAAUCAAGUUAAUUCCAACUCCUAUUCCUUGGUCAGUUGACCUGAAGGUCAUGGCUGAAGGUUGUUCUUAGUAACAGAUUUUUUUUGAUGUGGAGAAGGGUUCUGCCUCAAAUCAUCCUUUAGGCAGUAAGAUUCAAACCUCCACCACUUGUUCAGGUUGAUAAUUUUAUCGCAAUUUUCCAAUAAUUAACUUUAUCCUUAUGCCCCUAUAUACUAACCUCUGCUAAGAGAAAUGGAUCCUUUCUGUUUAUCCUGUUUCACCAGAAAACUGCUCUUAUUAAUGUGUUACUGCAAGCUGCUGGCAGUCUCACAUACCAGACAUCAGCCGCUUUCUGCUUCGACUACAAAAGCUGUCAUGUCUGAGUUAAGAAGCAAGUAGGGACAGACACCAGCCAGCCUGUGUUCUGAGUCACCGGUCCUGCUGCCCUACAGCCCAACCCUGUUCCUGGUUCUGAGCUACCAGUGCUGUCUGCAUGGAUUUUGCAUGUUUGUCCUGUCACUGAGUUGUCAUUUUUCUCCCUCAGGCCAAUUAGCUGGUGCAAAUUAGCCCCCACUCAAAGUAUGUGGGGAGAGUGGAAUCUCCACAGUUAAAGGGUAUCUGAUGGGGGACUUGUCUUUGAAAGUAAAUAGGCAGGUGAUACUUACAAAAUUGCUUUGAGAGCAGACAGAGCUUUGACAGGCAGAGUGGCCUCCUCUAGAUGCAAGGCCUGAAAGAAAGCAUUAUAGUGUCCAUAUUUACUGCCCAACAUGUCACCUGGACAUACCUGACAGGACAAUGCAGCCACCUCAGAGGGCCCAGAGACUACAUGAGUCAGCUUGAACGUGCUAUGCAGCCAAAGUUCAAAGUAAAUUUAUUAUCAAAGUACGUAUAUGUCGUCUUAUACAACACUGACAUUGUUUUUCUUGUGGGCAUUCACCGUAGAUAGAAGAAACACAACAGAACAGACAAAAAAGCAAGUGCAAAAAAACAAUAAUAAUAAUAAUAACAAAUAAAUAAGUAAUAAAUUUCAAGAACAUGAGAUGAAGAGUCCUUGAAAGGGUAGUCUAUAGCUUGUGGGAAAAUUUUAAUGAUGGGGUGAGUGAAAUUGAGUGAAGUUAUCCCCUUUUGGUUCAAGAGCCUGAUAGUUGAGAUGUAAUAACUGUUCCUGAACCAGACAGUUUAAGUCCUGAGGCUCCUGUACCUUCUUCUUGAUGGCAGUACUGAGAAGAGAGCAAGGCCUGGAUGGUGGGGGUUUUUGGUGAUGGAUGCUGCUUUCCUGUGACAGUGCUCUGUUUAGAUGUGUUUAGUGGUAUGGGGGGCUUUAUCUGUGAUGGACUGGGUCAUGUCUGCUAUUUUUUGUAGGAUUUUCUGUGCAUUGGUGUUUCCAUACCUGGCCAUGAUGCAACCAGUCAAUAUACUCUCCACCACUAUCAAAGUUUUCGAUGUCAUGGCAGAUCUCCGCAAGCUUCUAAGGAAGAGGAGGUGCUGUUGUAUUUUCCUUCAUAAUCACACUGACAUGCCAGACCCAGGAUAGAUAACAAUGAGGAAUUUAAAGAUGAUGACCCUGUCCACCUUCGGUCCUCCAAUGAGGACUGGAUCAUGGACCUCUGGUUUCCUCCUCCUGAAGCCAAUAAUCAUCUCCUUGGUCUUACUGGUUGUUGUUAUGGCACUAGUCAGCCAGGUUUUCAAUUUUCCUCCUAUAAGCUGAUUCAUCACCACUUUUGAUUGGGCCCACAAUAGUGGUGUCAUCAGCAAAGCUGAACAUGACGUUAGAGUUAUGCUUAGCCACACCAGUGACAGAAUAUUGAACCGGAAUCACAGGGAGAUGUCGUGAAAUUUGUUGUUUUCUGAUGGCAGUACAUUGCAAUAUAUAAUAAAAACUAUAAAUUAAAAUAAGAAAUUUAUUUUAAAAAUAAAUUAAAUAAGUAGUGCCAAAAGGGAGCAAAAAGAAAGAGGAUAUUGAGGUAACACACACAAAAAUUGCUGGUGAACGCAGCAGGUCAGGCAGCAUCUCUAGGAAGAGGUACAGUCGACGUUUCGGGCCGAGACCCUUCGUUAGGACUAACUGAUUUAGUGUACAUCAGGUAGUGUACAUAGGUUCAAUGUCCAAUCAGAAAUCUGAUGGUUGUGGGAAGGGGCUGUUCCUGAAAUGUUGAGAGUGUGUCUUCAGGCUCCUCAGGUAGAUGAAGGAUGUAAGUUAUAAAGUCAAUUCAAUUCAGUUCAAUGCCUGUACCUCCUCUUUGUUGGUAGGAAUUAGAAAAGGCCAAGUUCUAGGUAAUGGGGGUCCUUAAUGAGGGAGGCUACCUUUUUGAGCAAGGGAAAUUUAUUAGACGGAUGAUGGCAGGUUUCCCAAGAACAUUCUCAAUGCUGAACUGACUACUGGAUCACAUUUUGCUGAAAACCCAUAUCUCAAUUAAAAGGAUAACUGGAAUCCAGAUAUGACACCAACAUAUUGAAUGGGGAGAUCGCUGUUGAAAAUUAGAACCUGGAGCUUGGCUAUUCGAGACUAGGUAACCUAUUGAUGCCACAAGAUGGUGGUGCGCCUCUCCGGCUCCAAUCAACAGUGAAAAUCCUUGUCCGGUUCAUUUUUUCUAUGAUCGCAAAACUCUGCUGACUUCUACUGCACACCACAUGCAUUUGGAAUUAUAUUUUAUUAACCUAUUUAUGGUAAUAUUUUUUGUUUUAUGUGCUGUGUGUGAAAUAUGUAUUGUGGGUGCACCAUGGUCCAGAGGAACAUUGUUUCAUUUGGUUGUACCGUAUACAUGUAUAGCCAGAUAGCAAUCAACCUGAAAUUGAACUUGAAGAGAGGCAAGGAAAAGUGAAAAGCUCAGCGGAUAGAGAAGAUGGCCGAGAUACCACAGAGGACUGUAUGUUCGCACCUUCUCAGUCCAGUGCUUUAAGCUGCAGGGGUUGCUGUCUCAGUAUGCAACCUCAGAGCGGCACCUGAAGAUCUCCAGCAUGCAGCUGACCACCAAGGCUCAAACCUCCAUUCUUUGGGGCUGGAAAGAUGUCAAGCACAGAAUUAUAAAAGACUUAAAAACAAGGAUCUAAUUCCUUUGUCAUGAAGGUCAACAAUUAGGAUUUCCCUCUGUUCUGAGGCUAUGCCCUCUGGUCUGAACUCGCUCAGUAUAGGAAACAUCCUCUCCACAUCUACUAUAUCUCGGCUUUUCAAGAUGCAAUAGGUUUCAUUGAUAUCCCUCCUCAUUCUUCUAA